CCUACGGGAGGCUGCAGUGAGGAAUAUUGGUCAAUGGGCGCAAGCCUGAACCAGCCAAGUCGCGUGAGGGAUGACGGUCCUAUGGAUUGUAAACCUCUUUUGUCGGGGAGUAAGGCCCGCCACGUGUGGCUGGUAGGAGAGUACCCGUAGAAAAAGCAUCGGCAAACUCCGUUCCAGCAGCCGCGGUAAUACGGAGGAUGCGAGGGUUAUUCGGAUUUAUUGGGGUUAAGGGGUGCGUAGGCGGAAGGUUAAGUCAGCGGUAAAAUGUCGGUGCCAACCACUGGCCUGCCGUUGAAACUGGUGUUCUUGAGUGAGCGAGAAGUAUGCGGAAUGCGUGGUGUAGCGGUGAAAUGCAUAGAUAUCACGCAGAACUCCGAUUGCGAAGGCAGCAUACCGGCGCUCAACUGACGCUGAGGCACGAAAGCGUGGGGAUCGAACAGGAUUAGAUACCCGAGUAGUC
Molecule: ribosomal RNA, 460 nt
Filed under: uncultured bacterium
Lineage: Bacteria
Description: partial 16S ribosomal RNA
Rfam family: Bacterial small subunit ribosomal RNA
Source: RNAcentral